UAUCUGGGGGAUAACAGUUGGAAACGACUGAUAAUACCGCAUAACAUCAUUUGAAGGCAUCUUCUUAUGAUCAAAGAUUUAUCGGAUAUGGAUGAGCUCGCGUCUGAUUAGCUUGUUGGUGAGGUAACGGCUCACCAAGGCGACGAUCAGUAGCCGACCUGAGAGGGUGAUCGGCCACAUUGGAACUGAGACACGGUCCAAACUCCUACGGGAGGCAGCAGUGGGGAAUAUUGGGCAAUGGAGGAAACUCUGACCCAGCAACGCCGCGUGAAUGAUGAAGGUCUUCGGAUUGUAAAGUUCUUUUCUAAGGGAAGAAGAAAGUGACGGUACCUUAUGAAUAAGCCUCGGCUAACUACGUGCCAGCAGCCGCGGUAAUACGUAGGAGGCAAGCGUUAUCCGGAAUGACUGGGCGUAAAGGGUGCGUAGGUGGUUUGACAAGUUGGUAGCGUAACUCCGAGGCUCAACCUCGGCGCUACUACCAAAACUGUUGGACUUGAGU
RNAcentral lists this ribosomal RNA (499 nucleotides) under uncultured bacterium. RNAcentral's name for it is "bacterial SSU rRNA". It matches the Rfam family "Bacterial small subunit ribosomal RNA", at positions 133 to 647 of the family's 1533-position model. The record is from RNAcentral.